GAUGAACGCUGGCGGCGUGCCUAAUACAUGCAAGUCGAGCGAACAGACGAGGAGCUUGCUCCUCUGACGUUAGCGGCGGACGGGUGAGUAACACGUGGAUAACCUACCUAUAAGACUGGGAUAACUUCGGGAAACCGGAGCUAAUACCGGAUAAUAUAUUGAACCGCAUGGUUCAAUAGUGAAAGACGGUUUUGCUGUCACUUAUAGAUGGAUCCGCGCCGCAUUAGCUAGUUGGUAAGGUAACGGCUUACCAAGGCAACGAUGCGUAGCCGACCUGAGAGGGUGAUCGGCCACACUUGAACUGAGACACGGUCCAGACUCCUACGGGAGGCAGCAGUAGGGAAUCUUCCGCAAUGGGCGAAAGCUUGACGGAGCAACGCCGCGUGAGUGAUGAAGGUCUUCGGAUCGUAAAACUCUGUUAUUAGGGAAGAACAAAUGUGUAAGUAACUAUGCACGUCUUGACGGUACCUAAUCAGAAAGCCACGGCUAACUACGUG
This 497-nucleotide ribosomal RNA is filed under the name uncultured bacterium. RNAcentral describes it as "partial 16S ribosomal RNA". It matches the Rfam family "Bacterial small subunit ribosomal RNA", at positions 28 to 507 of the family's 1533-position model. The record is from RNAcentral.